GCGGGGGUUGCCGAGCUGGAUAAAGGCGCGGGACUUAAGAUCCCGUCCCGAAGGGGUCCGUGGGUUCGAAUCCCAUCCCCC
This 81-nucleotide transfer RNA is filed under the name Candidatus Methanomethylophilaceae archaeon. RNAcentral's name for it is "tRNA-Leu". It matches the Rfam family "tRNA". Rfam says of the family: Transfer RNA (tRNA) molecules are approximately 80 nucleotides in length. Their secondary structure includes four short double-helical elements and three loops (D, anti-codon, and T loops). Lineage: Archaea; Methanobacteriati; Thermoplasmatota; Thermoplasmata; Methanomassiliicoccales; Methanomethylophilaceae. The record is from RNAcentral.